GAGUUUGAUCCUGGCUCAGAUUGAACGCUGGCGGCAGGCCUAACACAUGCAAGUCGAGCGGAUGACGGGAGCUUGCUCCUUGAUUCAGCGGCGGACGGGUGAGUAAUGCCUAGGAAUCUGCCUGGUAGUGGGGGACAACGUUUCGAAAGGAACGCUAAUACCGCAUACGUCCUACGGGAGAAAGCAGGGGACCUUCGGGCCUUGCGCUAUCAGAUGAGCCUAGGUCGGAUUAGCUAGUUGGUGGGGUAAUGGCUCACCAAGGCGACGAUCCGUAACUGGUCUGAGAGGAUGAUCAGUCACACUGGAACUGAGACACGGUCCAGACUCCUACGGGAGGCAGCAGUGGGGAAUAUUGGACAAUGGGCGAAAGCCUGAUCCAGCCAUGCCGCGUGUGUGAAGAAAGGUCUUCGGAUUGUAAAGCACUUUAAGUUGGGAGGAAGGGCAGUAAGUUAAUACCUUGCUGUUUUGACGUUACCGACAGAAUAAGACACCGGACUAACUCUGUGCCAGCCGCCG
This 516-nucleotide ribosomal RNA is filed under the name bacterium enrichment culture clone ALO1_GLFRUDD03FLVVI. Its description in RNAcentral is "bacterial SSU rRNA". It matches the Rfam family "Bacterial small subunit ribosomal RNA", at positions 9 to 517 of the family's 1533-position model. The record is from RNAcentral.